AGAUUGAACGCUGACGGCAGGCCUAACACAUGCAAGUCGAGCGGUAGAGAGGUGCUUGCACCUCUUGAGAGCGGCGGACGGGUGAGUAAUGCCUAGGAAUCUGCCUAGUGGUGGGGGAUAACGUUCGGAAACGGACGCUAAUACCGCAUACGUCCUACGGGAGAAAGCGGGGGACCUUCGGGCCUCGCGCCAUUAGAUGAGCCUAGGUCGGAUUAGCUAGUUGGUGAGGUAAUGGCUCACCAAGGCGACGAUCCGUAACUGGUCUGAGAGGGAUGAUCAGUCACACUGGAACUGAGACACGGUCCAGACUCCUACGGGAGGCAGCAGUAGGGGAAUA
Molecule: ribosomal RNA, 337 nt
Filed under: uncultured soil bacterium
Lineage: Bacteria
Description: bacterial SSU rRNA
Rfam family: Bacterial small subunit ribosomal RNA
Source: RNAcentral